Molecule: long non-coding RNA, 849 nt
Organism: Chinchilla lanigera (long-tailed chinchilla)
Lineage: Eukaryota; Metazoa; Chordata; Mammalia; Rodentia; Chinchillidae
Exons: 3
Source: RefSeq, a predicted model, not a curated record
GUAACCCCUGGCAACUGCGGCCCAGGCGCUGAGCGCUGUGCGCAUGUGCGCCGGCUACAGCUAGACUGGAGGGCAUCUGCUUCCCUGCAGGUGCUCCAGCCUUCUGCGAGGUGGAUCCCCACCUGUUCUCAGUUGCCUCUUCCAACAAUGGCGAGAUAGCCAAAGCUCCCUCCAUCUUGUCUGUCUUUCCUGUGGGCUCUGAACCUGGCCAUCGGCUUGUAAGUUCACGACAGUUGUCCUGGGGCAGGGUUUGGAGUCAGAAGAUAGCACCCGCCAGCCUGUCAUGCAAGCUGGAAACGCGGACACCAUCCUCACCUGCCUCCUCGUCUCCACCUGCACUGAACGAUCAGACAGCUCCUCACUUCCUUAGCACCUCUGUGGUUCAGGCUCCUGCUGUUAUUCCUUGCAGCACAGCUCCUCGCAGGCCGUUCUGCCUGAAAGGCAUCUGCUUGCUGAAAUCAAGUCAUCCUCUGAAAUGUAGACGGGAAUAUGUUGAAACCCCCCCCACACACACACACCAGUACACAAUGUGGUAAUGCUCCCAGCACCUGCCCGUCUGCCCAUGCUGCCAGUGUCUGCUGGAGGCCCCUGUGACUUCCCAUGUGAGGACUAAUCUUAAUGCCAAGGGGUGCUGGAAGUGCCAGGCUUUGAUGUCUGCAAGCAGCCACAGCCAGCGACCCACAGGUGGUGGAUGGAGACCAGAGCAAGUCAUCUGGAAGUGUCUUCCCAAAGGCCCCCAGGAGAUCAAGCCCAGGUGCUAUGCUGUAGUCAGGGCUGCAAGGGAAACAAUUUAAUACGGGACACACAAUUUAUAGGAUUAUUUUAUAAUCACCCAAAGAGUCAAACACA